Molecule: ribosomal RNA, 999 nt
Filed under: Triticum aestivum (bread wheat)
Lineage: Eukaryota; Viridiplantae; Streptophyta; Magnoliopsida; Poales; Poaceae
Description: partial small subunit ribosomal RNA
Source: RNAcentral
AUGGCCUCUAGUUCUUCUUUGAGGAAGCAGAAUCAGGUGUUAGGAUUGGCAAAGCGCCAGAAGAGAGGGAUGCCAACCCAAGCAGAGUCCUUGCCCUCGAAGCUUCAAUGCGAGCUUAUGCAGACAACAAGGUUGGCACUGUUGUUAACCCGGCGCUCAGAACUAGAUUCGACACAGUUGAAGAAGCGUAAAACUGUUGGUUUCAGACCAAGCUCGUGCAAUGGAGGUUGCCAUAGAAGAUGUCAUGCCACAUACAAGUCGUGCAAAUGGCAUGUGUUGAAGAAAGCAAAAGAGUGCCUUGGGCCACUGCUAGGCAAGGGUAGUGAGUUCAAACAGGAGUUCAACAAGAUGGUGCAUCGCAUGACUCGGAUGAAGUGGGCUAAGCCUUACUUCAUGGAUGCUUUUUGCGCCAAGAUGACCAGCACGCAACAGAGUGAAAUUGCAAACCAUUUGCAGAAAGGAUAUGUGCCACCAGGAUCCUUGGUGCACCUUUUCAUCAGGCAAUAUGAGAAGAUGCAAUUUGACAGAGAUUCAGAGGAGAAUUAUCAAGAGAAGAGAACCAAACUGGGUGGUGUUUUGCUUGCUCAGAACCUACCUAUUGAGAUACAUGCAUCAAAAAUUUAUACGAAGGCCAUGUUUGAAAAUUUUGGUGAGAUGCUAUAUGAACGUGGGUCAUAUGUUCUGAUCGAAGUUGUGCCUCGUCAUGAAUACAUAGCGAGGCAUGUCAACGAGCUUGCUGACGAAUUCAAGUGUGAAUGUGGAAUGUUUGAACAUUUUGGCAUGGUGUGCAGCCAUGCACUGAAGGUAAUGAUACAGCUUGGUCUGCAGGAGGUUCCAGCCGGGCAAAUACUGAAGCGUUGGACAAGGGAUGCAAGACUCGGUGACAACAAUGCGGAUGCAUAUGCUCUUGCGAUGGAUCAACUAAGAAAUGUGAAAACAUUGCUUUGCGGCGCCAUCAAAGAAGAGACCAGCGGGGUGCCCUACGACAAGCCGCAAUAA